Molecule: ribosomal RNA, 229 nt
Filed under: uncultured bacterium
Lineage: Bacteria
Description: partial 16S ribosomal RNA
Rfam family: Bacterial small subunit ribosomal RNA
Source: RNAcentral
AGCGUAGGCGGAAAAUUAAGUCAGUGAUGAAAUCCUGCAGCUUAACUGUAGAACUGUUAUUGAUACUGAUUUUCUUGAAUAUAGUUGAGGUAGGCGGAAUGUGUAAUGUAGCGGUGAAAUGCUUAGAUAUUACACAGAACACCGAUUGCGAAGGCAGCUUACUAAGCUAUUAUUGACGCUGAGGCACGAAAGCGUGGGGAGCGAACAGGAUUAGAUACCCUGGUAGUCC